GUCGAACGAGCUCUCCCAAAUUGAUUUUAUGCUUGCAUAAAUGAUUUUUGGAUUCGGAGCGAGUGGCGAACUGGUGAGUAACACGUGGGUAACCUGCCCCGAAGCGGGGGAUAACAUUUGGAAACAAAUGCUAAUACCGCAUAAUUAGUUGGAACCGCAUGGUUCCAAUUUGAAAGAUGGCUCUGCUAUCACUUUGGGAUGGACCCGCGCCGUAUUAGUUAGUUGGUGAGAUAAAAGCCCACCAAGACGAUGAUACGUAGCCGACCUGAGAGGGUAAUCGGCCACAUUGGGACUGAGACACGGCCCAGACUCCUACGGGAGGCAGCAGUAGGGAAUCUUCCACAAUGGACGAAAGUCUGAUGGAGCAACGCCGCGUGAGUGAUGAAGGGUUUCGGCUCGUAAAACUCUGUUGUUAAAGAAGAACAAGUGUUAGAGUAACUGUUAACACUUUGACGGUAUUUAACCAGAAAGCCACGGCUAACUACGUGCCAGCAGCCGCGGUAAUACGUAGGUGGCAAGCGUUGUCCGGAUUUAUUGGGCGUAAAGCGAGCGCAGGCGGUUUUGUAAGUCUGCUGUGAAAGCCCUCAGCUCAACUGAGGAAGUGCAGUGGAAACUACAAAACUUGAGUACAGAAGAGGAAAGUGGAACUCCAUGUGUAGCGGUGAAAUGCGUAGAUAUAUGGAAGAACACCAGUGGCGAAGGCGGCUUUCUGGUCUGUUACUGACGCUGAGGCUCGAAAGCAUGGGUAGCGAACAGGAUUAGAUACCCUGGUAGUCCAUGCCGUAAACGAUGAAUACUAGGUGUUGGGAGGGUUUCCGCCCUUCAGUGCCGCAGCUAACGCAUUAAGUAUUCCGCCUGGGGAGUACGACCGCAAGGUUGAAACUCAAAGGAAUUGACGGGGGCCCGCACAAGUGGUGGAGCAUGUGGUUUAAUUCGAUGCUACGCGAAGAACCUUACCAGCUCUUGACAUCUUCUGCCAACCCAAGAGAUUGGGCGUUCCCUUCGGGGACAGAAUGACAGGUGGUGCAUGGUUGUCGUCAGCUCGUGUCGUGAGAUGUUGGGUUAAGUCCCGCAACGAGCGCAACCCUUAUUAUUAGUUGCCAGCAUUUAGUUGGGCACUCUAGUGAGACUGCCGGUGAUAAACCGGAGGAAGGUGGGGACGACGUCAAAUCAUCAUGCCCCUUAUGAGCUGGGCUACACACGUGCUACAAUGGAUGGUACAACGAGUCGCGAAACCGCGAGGUCAAGCUAAUCUCUUAAAGCCAUUCUCAGUUCGGAUUGCAGGCUGCAACUCGCCUGCAUGAAGUUGGAAUCACUAGUAAUCGUGGAUCAGCAUGCCACGGUGAAUACGUUCCCGGGCCUUGUACACACCGCCCGUCACACCAUGAGAGUUUGUAACACCCAAAGACGAUGGGGUAACCUUUUAGGAGCUAGUCGUCUAAGGUGGGACAGAUGAUUAGGGUGAAGU
This 1468-nucleotide ribosomal RNA is filed under the name Apilactobacillus kunkeei. Its description in RNAcentral is "bacterial SSU rRNA". It matches the Rfam family "Bacterial small subunit ribosomal RNA". Lineage: Bacteria; Bacillati; Bacillota; Bacilli; Lactobacillales; Lactobacillaceae. The record is from RNAcentral.